Molecule: long non-coding RNA, 15985 nt
Filed under: Durio zibethinus
Lineage: Eukaryota; Viridiplantae; Streptophyta; Magnoliopsida; Malvales; Malvaceae
Description: long non-coding RNA (DZIB_LNC000534)
Source: RNAcentral
GCUUAAGCUGGUGAUUUGGUAUAGAAGCGGAUGCCGAAGGCCAAUCCCAAGAUUAGCAAGGGAACAAGGAAUUGGAGAAGCUUUAUAACAAAUUCUGAGGUCUUGUCCUGAUCAUAGUGAGGCUGCUUGGGAGGGGUGUACUUUGUCUUGGUGGGGAUCGUUGAUGUAUCGAUGUCACCCACAUAAAACUCAUCCAUCAUUGCUCUAGCUGAGCUACUAUGACCAACAUCCUCAAAAUCAUCAGUUGCAUCCUUCCCUGUCAACCAUACAUCAAAGCAAGGUUAUUUCCAUUUUUCCAUCUUCUACAAUAAUUCCAGCAUUAGAUUAUACAAAAUAAGUAAAAAAAAUUAGGUAUUUGUUAUACCUGUGGCAGACAACAAGACCUCAUCACCACCAGGAUGGUCCUCCAAGAAUUUAGUCACAUUGAAGACCUGUUCAAACAUAAGAUUGGAAUUUAAGGAGUUCAAAGUGGAAUAUAAAGCAAUGGUUCCAAAUCAAAAUCAAGUUGGCUCUAGAGUAAAAUUAGCAAUCAAAUUAAUGGUAGAUUGAUAUCUAAAGCUGAACCCUGCUUCAUGUUACCACAAGUUCAAAUAGAAUUCAACCCCAUAAAUUUUGUUCUUACAACCAAUGUAUUGCUGAUGACAGGUCCUUGAAAUUUAUGAAUAGAAACCAAGUGUUCAUGACAGUUUCUAAAAACUUUUAUUAAAUAAGGAUAAGGGUAAUGUUACUGAUUUCUGAACCUCCAAAAAGAUAAAAGAAUGCUAUAGAUAAUGUUGGUACUAACUGGAAAGAAAUAAAUACAAAAAAUUCAAGUCGUUAGCAUCCAAAAGCCAGCCACUACUGCAGUGAAUAGGAUACUAAAACCGGCGAAAAUCAUUAUUAUAAUGCUUGAAUCAUUCAGCCCACUUAAAGCAGCAUAGCCAAUUUAGAACUCCUCAGAGGAAUGGAAUAAAAGUAUAUCAACAAAAAGAAAACAUUCAUUUUAAAUGUCUAGGACCGACAACUACUCUGCAAAUUGAGGAAAAAAAACACACAACGGCUGAUAUCUUUUAAUUUAAACUGUUACCAACUACCAAGAGAAUACAUUGUACAAAGUACAUCAAGCAGAAUUCAUAAAAAAUAGUGCAUUUAAAUGCGAAACUAAAUCUAAUGACAGUAACGCAGCGCAUCAAUGGUCAGCACCACCAAUCCGGAAUAAGCUAAUGAUUAAACAAAUCCAAGGAACUCAAUAGCAGAGUGUAUAUUCUUGCAUGCAGCCUAGCAAUCAUCCAGAUCAAAAGAAAUUCUGAGAUCUAAGCAAAAUAUUGCUUUUGAUAUGAAGAUGAAUGUCUUGAAUCUGACUUAUCAAUCCGCCAAUAAGAAGAAAAUGAAAUUUUCUUUCAGUUUCAUUUAUCUUUCAUACAGGAGAGAUGGACUAUAAGGAAUCCUAAGCUUCUAGAGACAAGUCAAAUAUGCAGUGAAUAUAAGCUGUCAGCCUCUAAGAGAGAUACACCCACUUGGGUUCAAAAAUUUUUUAUGAUCAGAACCAAAUAAACAAAAAUCAAACAAACAAGAAAAUCACCUAGUAAUCAAAUUAAAAAAAAAAAAAAGGCUUCCCAGAUCUAACAACACUAAAAACUUGCAACUCCAGAAUUAAAUUAAAAUACCCAACUUUUGCAAAAUAUAAACAAAACAAACCAGACCAAAAAGAAAACCCCACAACCCUGGACUGGGUCAAGAUCAAACUGGAUCAUCCGAGAAACUGUACCCAAAAAAGAGGUUCUACCUUGCCCUCAAUGACAAGCCAACAAUCUUUAGCAUUGUUGUGUUGAGAAACCUCAGCCAAAGUAUAGACCUUUCCUUCUCCACCCAUCUUUUUGCUUGUUUGAGGAAGAAAAAGAGCAGAGAUUUGCUGAUCAAACUAAACUAAAGUUUAUUGUAGUUGUCUUGUGGUUAGCAUAGCCGCCGGGCGUUGGGAAUAGAACAAAUAACAAAAACAGUAUAAAUAAGGGAAACUUAGAGAGAGAGGGUUUGGUUGGUAAAGGCCAAAGGAAAAUAUUUUGAUUGGCUGAGGGGUUGGUGAGGACUGAGGGUGAGAUGGUUGUAUCACCAACCACCCCCUUCCCUUUAUGGUAUUGUGAUUUCUUAUUUGAACUUUUUUGUGGAGUUGUUUAUUUUUUUUGGAUUCUGACAUUUUUGUCAUUUUUGUUCCUUCUAAUUCGAAAACAAAAGUUUCUAAGUACAUAACAAAAUUACAACUGUCAAAUUUACAAUUAAUAUGAAUGUUUUCUCCUCGAACAAAUACCAGAACAUGAUCUAACAAAUAACUGCGAUAAAAAUAUGCUUAGUAAAAUUAUGGUGGUAUUACUAAUAUUUUUUUCACUUUUGAAGAAAACAAAGUGAAAUGGGGUAAAUUUUCUCCCUUUUUACACUAUGAUAAAAGUAAGAUUUGGUUUAAAUAUUUUUUACAAUAAUCAGAGAAAAUUAUCAUGUCAGUCAAUUAUAAACUUAAAAUAUAAAAAAAGACAGACACAUUAAUUAUAAAAAAAUAACACACAUAAUAUUUUACUUAUAAUAAUUAGGGUUACGAACCUAUAGUUUAAAUCAUCUUUAGUUUGCAAAACAUAAAAAAUUGAAAAUAUAUAUUUCUAAUUGUAGUUCGAUUCCUUCUAUUUGUAAUCUCAAAAAAGUUUGAGGCUUUGAAUUACAAAAGCGAUUUAAGACACAUUAUUAUAAAAUAAAUUUAUCUAAAAAUUAAAUUGGAUCAAAAUUAAUAGAUCAUUCAAAAAUCUUGUUUAAAGUUCAACUCAACCCAUCAUUUUGAAUAGAAAAGAUUCGAUGUUUUUAAAUACAUUAAAACGUCAAAGUAUGAAAAUAUAAAAAUUUUAUUAUUAUUAAUAUGUUUUAAAAUUAAAAUUAAAUAAAAUUUUUUUAAUAAAACAAAAUUUUGAAUCAAAUUGAGUUUAAAAUUCAAAACUCAUACGCAAGCCCAAUAAAGGAAAAAUUAGGGUGGGAGUUUCAAAAUGAAGAAAAUAUUAGGGCCGUCCUAGUGUCCUUUUCUUCUUGACAUUAGAAUACAACAACUAAGUUCAGAAAGAUUUGUGUUGCUAACUCAUAUAUAAACACAACGAGUGAUCAUAUUCCACCAUUUGUUAGUAUGCGUAGAGGGUUUAGUGCCAAAUUUGUUUGUAGAUGUGUACCCCUUCUUAUUCAAUGAUUUUUUUUUUCUUUUUUUCUAAUACAAACUUCUCUCCUUGUGAUUAUCUUAUCCAAUUUAUUUAUACAAAUAAUAUUGAAGCCAAGAAAUCAUUGUAGGAGGUUGGGCCAUGCAAUUCAACAACCUUAGGCAAAUCAAAGGCGAUUUCCAUCUUUGAUUAUAUGUUUAGAUAGAUAUAUAAAUUAUGGUAUUUAUUUAUUUAAAAAAAGCAAGGGUAAAAACUCUUUACCAAACAAUACCGAAUAAACUUGUUCACGAAUUAUUUUUUGAAUAUGAGUUUUAAAAUUUGAUCUAAUUCAAUUCAAAAUUUUAUUUUAUUAAUAAAAAUUAUUUUUAUUUUAUUUAUUAAAAAUAUAUUUAGAAAUAAUAAAAUUUUCAUAUUUUUUAUAUAUUAAAUAUAUUCCAAUAUAUUUUUAAAACAAAUUUAAACUUUUCAUAUAUGAUGAAUUUGAUCGAAUUUUAAACAAAACUUCUUAAUAAUCGAUUGGAUUUGACUUAAUUUGACUCAACCCAUAAAUAAAUUUAUUAGUAAGCUAUACACAAAUUAUAAAUCAAUACAAAAAAUAUAAAAUAAUUUGUUUCCUAAUUUAAUAUGUCACGAGAACAAUUUAAUUUUAAAAAUAUUUAGCUUUCAAAACUUUUUUGAUAGUAGAGAUAAUAAUGAAUUCAAACUUGAAGAGUUUUAUGUCAUUCAUUUUCAUUUAUAAGUGAUGCUUUUUGUACUAUUAAAAAACAUUUAUCUUUUUUUUUUUAAUUUUUUAUACCGAAUAUAAAGAAAAAAAAUUCCUUUCUAUUCUAUUUUUUUUUUUUAAUUUGGUUGUUCAUUAUAUUUUCUUUCAUUUUCAGUUUUCACCGAACAUAAUGUUUAAGAGUACUAAAUAAAAUGAUUUAUUUAAAAAUAAUAAUUGGUCGCGAAAAGCUUAAUUAAUACAUUUGGACAUGUGAUAAUUUUUGUUGCAAUGUAAGCCUCAAAUUUCACAUUGAAAGAGAUUAUUUAGUAUAUCACCUUUUUAGGCUUUGAUUGUUUGAUGCUUUCAAAUUUGCUUUUUAUUUUUUUCCAAUAAAAAUAAAAACAACAUACAAAAAACAAAAAAAAAAUAUAAAAUAAAAAAAAGUAAAAAAUAAAAACACAAACCAAAGAAAAAAUUAAUUUAUUCAUUAUUUUGGUCAAAUUAAUUAAUUAAUUCAUACUCAUAAUAUUAUUGUAAAAGCAUGAUUAAUUUCAAUUAAAAAUAUAAAUUUUUAAUUAGGUGUCAUAUUAGAUGCAAACUUAAAUUAAUGAAACACGGUCAACAAUAUUCAUUGGUUAUCAAUUAAAUUAAAAAUUUAUAUAUAGAUAUUAUACAUUAUAUUACAAGUUCCCAAUUUAUUAAUGAAUAAAAUUAAAACUUAAAGACUUUAAAAGUUAUAUAUCAUAAUAAAUAAAAUUAAAAUAUAUUUUAAAACUUUAAAAAUUUAAAUUUAUUAAUAAAUAAAUAAAAACUUGUAUGCAUGAAAAUAUUAAAUAUAAACCUUUAACUUAAAUCUUGCAUGCUUUUUCAUCCAAAGAAAAAAUUAAGAUCUUUUGGGCCCAAAAAUGUCUGAAUCUAAGAUCUUUGGGGCUGGGUCUGUCGGAUUAAAGGCCCAAAGUCAUUGGUAUUUCAUUUUACUAAAUAGCGUAUUUGAUGACAUGGCAUAAGUUUACUGGCCAAUAUCCUUAUUGUAGCAGACACUGCGUACAUUUGACCGCACUAAAUCAUACUUCUAAUAGUAUUGAAAACCCUAGCAACCUCAUUAUUAUAUAAAACAUAUUUCUUCUCCAUUUUGCGGCUCAUAGAGUGAAAGGAACGGAGAGAAGCUCUAAGGUGAAAAUAAUGGUGUCCGGAUCAGGGGUAUGCGCGAAAAGAGUGGUGGUGGAUGCCCGCCACCACAUGCUGGGAAGGUUGGCUUCAAUCGUGGCGAAGGAGCUGCUCAAUGGCCAAAAAGUAGUGGUAGUCAGAUGUGAGGAAAUUUGCAUGUCAGGCGGACUCGUUCGCCAGAAGAUGAAGUACAUGAGAUUCCUCCGCAAACGCAUGAACACCAAGCCUUCACAUGGUCCCAUUCACUUCCGUGCCCCGGCCAAGAUCUUCUGGCGCACCGUUCGUGGGUCUGUUUUAACUUUCUCUCUCUCUUUCUAUGGUUUUUUUUUUUCUUUCCGUCUGAUUUUAGAAAAUCAGGAGCUAAAGUGAAAUGGGUUUGUCGAGAUUUAUGUCUUAUUUGUUUAAACGGUGAAGUAAUGAGGCUAAACUCAAAUAGUUAAAUGCCUGCGUUUUGAACGCUAAGUAGAAAUUUUUUUUGAUUUUGAUGAGAUUUAAUGGUUACUGAUUUUUGCAGAAUGAUACCACAUAAGACUAAGCGUGGAGCAGCUGCUCUUGCUCGUUUGAAGGCUUAUGAGGGUAUUCCUAGUCCAUAUGAUAAGAUUAAGAGGAUGGUCAUCCCUGAUGCUCUUAAGUAAGUUUCUCUACUGUCCUUCAUUUUCAUUAUAAUGUAAUCCUCUGAUUUUCGUUAUAAUCUUUACUGUUAUCUUUAAAUGUAAUUAGGGUCUUGAGGCUUCAGAAGGGGCACAAGUACUGCUUGUUGGGCCGCUUGUCAUCAGAGGUUGGAUGGAACCAUUACGACACCAUCAGGGUGAGUUUAUGUUAUCAUUCCUUGCUUUGCUAUAGACCGUCCUUCAAUCUUUCUAUGCCCUUAUUUAUGGGAUAAGUAUUAUGUAACUUAGGGCUUAAAGUAUGACUUAAGUCUAAUGUUGGUUAACUUUGCAUUUGCUUGUCAGCAUAUAUUACUUGCUUGUUUAGUUGUUGAGCAAAACAUUCAAUCGAUUUAUUUUCUUUUCCACUCUCUUCUGUUUUAGGACUUGGGCAUGUGUAUUCUUUUUGGUAAUGUAUUCUUUUUAGUAAGGGUGUGUAUGUGAAAUGUUGCAGAGAGGAAUUGGUAAUGUAUUAGCAUGUUAAAAGCUGUAUGAAUUCAGCUUUACUGAUUUCUUAUUAAAAUUUUACUUGCAUUGAGUAAAAAGGUCAGGAAUUCUGCCCUUGAUUCCUCUUGUUACGUUACUACUUUACCAUUUUGGGGAUCUGAUUGGGUUUUGAUUUAAUCAUCCUUUCUUUGUUAAUGGUAAGAAAUAUGCAAGUGUUGUGAGUGUUGAGAUCAAUGUGGAAACAUGGCAAUGACAUGCAGAUUGAAUUGUCAAUAUAUGUUAUUCAUGUGAAGUGCCCUUAAUUAUGUACUGAGCUAUCUCUUGAGAUUUACUACCGAGUCAUUCUUUUAAACCUUGAAGAUGUGAAAUUAAUAGAUGAUAAUUCCAUUCAAAUUUUGUUUGUAAUUAUACUGUGGACUCCAGGAGCUGGAGAAGAAGAGGAAGGAGAGGGCUCAGGUUGCAUAUGAGAGGAAAAAGCAGCUGAACAAGCUUAGGAUAAAGGCUGAGACAGCUGCGGAGGAGAAACUUGGCUCUCAACUAGACAUCCUUGCCCCUGUUAAGUACUGAAUUUCUAGUGGCUAGCUAGUUUCCUACAAUUUUGUUAAGGUUAGUUGUAUGGUUUUGGUUUCUGUUUUAUUCUGUUCUGAGAUUUGGAGGCUGGAAAUUUGUUGAAUCUUGAGUUGUCCUGUUUCUUAUUUUGGCCAUAGGAUUCUUUGAAUAUAUUUCAGAUAUGCACUAUCAUGGUUUCAUGCAUUAACCACUUAAUGUUGUGUUUGCUAUUCAAAUUUAUAUGCUGUGAACAUUGAUAUGGAUGUGUACGGGUUCAUUGCAAUACCGAGUUUGAAAAAAAACCAUAGGCAGUAUAUAAAUCAUGGUUUGUUAUCAAUUUCCGGUUCCUAAGGAGUGCAAUGUUGCUGUGCAGUCUGUGCUGGUCUAAAUUCGAUUUUCCCUUCCUAAACGAUCACUCCCUGGCACUUGCCAGGAGUUGGGAAAUCAGACACCGAAACUGGAGUAUUGUUGUGGUGAAAGAAAGGGAAACUAACUUUAAAAAAAGCUAAAUUAUAGUUUAAUAACAGUUCACAAAUCUUUUCAAUUCUGCUAUACAGAUUUAACAGGUGCAAACGUGACAGAAUUUCCUUAUUUUGUGAGAACAGAUCUCUGAAUCAAAGACGUACUCUGAUGAGAAAACUCAAGUGGAAAGCUUUUGCUUAUUUGAUCCCAGACUUAGAAGAAAUUAGUUGACAUUUUUGUAAGGAAAAAUUGAUGGUAGAAGUUCUUGAAAGCACUGUUCCUUUACAGUCUCAUUACAAAUAUCAUAUUGAAAUGUCAAUUGUUAAGGUUGAUAUUUCCUUUAUGUGACAUCUGAAUAAAUUCAAUUUUAGGAACCAAAUUAGACUAGAACGGCUGCAAAUUGCUAAUGAAAAAAGCUUAUAAAAUCAAUGGUAGACAGAAUUACAGAAUGUUUUAUAAAGGAAGAAGAUUCUCAUCCAGUUCAUUCAUUGCCUUUCGUCUUUGCUUUAUCCUCUUCUCAUUGCUGUCAUGAACCUUAUAUAGUCAUACUGUGCACGAAGUUUAAGUCGGUUAUCAUGUCUGAUUUCAUAUCUACCUUUAGCUCAGACAUUUUUUUGCAUGUGCAUCGCUAAAAUCUUGGUAAAUAAAAUAUCUAUCAUUAGUUUAGUGCUCUCAGAGGUUUUGUUGGAAGAAAAAGUCUUGUUGAUACAGUGAUGUUAGUUCAAGAAAAUAGAAAUAGUUAAAGCUACCACAAGAACCUUUAGCAAAUAGAUCAUAAGCCUAAGUAGGAUGCUUAUUAGAAACUGGAAUUUGGAGCAAGAUAUGCUUGUCUAAAGAUUACUUCUUUUGCCAACAGUCAUGUGUAAAGUGUUGGAUUUUUAUUUCCAAUAAAAAAAAAUUGAUAAUUUAAAUGCAAAAAAAAAAGAAGACCUUUUUGUUGUUAUUAUGUCUGUUCAAUUAAAUGUGCUUGAUAGUGCAGAUGUUUUCAUUCUAAUAGAUUUGCAUAUUUCUUUGAAUGAAUAAAGUAUCAUUUAUUCAAAAAAAAAGUUCAAAUAAGGACUAGUAUAAAAAUCAGAGUACCUGUAUAUGAUUCUCUUCCUACAGGAGGAAUUAAGAUUUGGGUCAGCAAGUUGCCAAAAGUAACAUCUAAAAUAAUCUCAUCCUAUACAUCAAAGGACCUUCUUUUACUCCUCUUUUUUCCAAACAAGUAAUGCAAUACCUGAGCAGUCUUCUGUUGGUUUCAUGCAUUGCCCCCAUUUUGACAUGCAAGAUGUUACAUUUUUGUUUAAAAUUUUACGGAUUAUGGGGAACUGAAAACAUGAAUAUCUUGGUAAUGAAAUUUGCUCUGGCGGGAAAGAAAGGACAAAAGGCUUCGUCACCCUGGACCCCAAGUGCCAAACCUGGGAAGUCCGGGGUUGAAGUCUUAAAAUCUUUCAUUGGUAUCACAAAGUUACUAUUUUUUUUCUCCUGUUUGAUUCAACUUGUUCAGUUAAGUAGGUUGACUUUUUUGUUUAUCAUGUUCUGAUAAGACGAUCAACUCUCAACCUGAAAAUUGUUAAUUGGAAAGUUCAUCCAUUGAUCAGAUUCUAAUCAUAUUCAAGCUCGAUAAAAUGACCCUUUUGGCUAUUGCAACAAUAAUCUGUCUUUGCCAGCGAAGCCUUCUUCAAAUAUUAAAGAAUUCUAAUUAACAAUUGUUUUAUUGAUCUGAUGUUGUAUGUUGAGAACUUAAAAGUAGGGGUAAAAACAGACAGCGUCGACAGCAGGGUUCGAACCUGCGCGGGCGAUGCCCAACAGAUUUCAAGUCUGUCUCCUUAACCACUCGGACAUAUCGACCUUAGUGCAAUAAAAAUUUAACUCAAAUCAAUCAACUGAACUAAAUUAUUGCCUCGUUUGAUUUGCCUCUCAACCCUGAAGAGUGGAGAGGGUACCUAACUACAAAGAUAAAUUUCUGUGGUCCAGUACUAAAGGUCUUCAUUGGGGUCACCAUGGUUUAGCUUCUCGGCUAGAUUAUUUUCUCCUCAAGUCUUUUCCUAACUAAUCAUGAUCAUCAUUUCAUUGAGCAUCCAACUUGACAUUCUUUGGUCUUUCACUAGUUGCCCUACAUGUAAACAAAGUUCAAACUUAGAGGGGAAACAAAAGAAAUAAAGAAAAGGAAAAUGGAAAAUAGAGGCACUUGCCUUAAUCUAAAAGUAAAUUGAACUCUAAAUCUAAACCUUUCAUCAUAGCCGGUGCAAAUCUAACUUUCGGCAAUCAUACACUCUUCCACUCUCAAGAAAAAAAAAAGAAAAAGUUUCACCAUCUAUAUGCAUUUGUUAUGCAUGUCAUUGGUGCAUUUGUUUUUUCCAGGUUCCUUUAAAACUGUCAAAUUAUUGACUUUGGGCUUCUUGGAAGAAGAAAGUAGGUUUUCUUUAUCAAGAAGAUACAUUUUUUGGAGUGAGAAUUCAUUUGCAAGCAAAGCUGGAACCACAAAGUAUCAUUGUGUUGAUGCGGGUCCGGCAAGCAUCCUUUGCAGCAAUAUCCACCAAUUUAUAUUAAUUCAACAGCUGCUGUUUUGCUUUAACACUUCAACACAUGAAUGCAGUCAAGUCUCUGGCCCCAAUAUAUAUUUUAUUAAAUUAUUGUCAAUUGAAGACCAAAAAAAUUUUGAAAUCAAAGAUCAUAAAAUCUUUGUAAUAUUUGGAAGUGGCUAGCCUUGUUCCUUUUCUUCUUCUCUUCUUAUUUUAAAAUCUUUCAUUAUAUUUAUUAAGUAGGUUAUUUGCUGAUGUAAAUUUAUGAGGGAAUGCAAAUAUUUUCUUGGAUGGAAAACAAAAAAGUUUGCAUGUAUUUCAAAAUGACAUAAUCUUUUCAAUUUUAAAAUUUAAGACAUCUCAAAUAAUGUCCGAACAUUCGAUUCAAUAAUUGUUAUAUAAUUUUUUUCCCUCCCGUUUCAUUCUAAUGUCAAUUGCCUGAAGUUAAACUAAAAAUCAGACUAGGUGGCUCUUGAACAUUUUCUUUGGGUAAUAUAGGUAGGGUUUUUUAGACAUAAUACUUAUAUCAGAAGACACGCUCCCACGUCGGUUUUAAUUUAUAAAUUCAAAGUUUAUUGUCAAGAUAUACUCUCAUAAAUAUCGAAUUUGAUCACAUAUAAAGAAAUCCCUUUUAACAUUUCCUGUGGACAAAAUGAAAUACAAGCAAACACAGAAAUAUAGAAGUAAGGAGAUAUAAGAGGAGUUCGUUAACUGACAUCAUUUUCAUGCUUUUCCACUUUUAAGUUGAAAUUUUAACGACUUUGGUCCACAAGGAGAGAGAGAGAGAGGAAGUGGCACUUUUGUUCUUGCUCUUUGAGCUGCUUUUCAACUACUGCUACAAUAGCAGUGAUGGUGGCAGUAGUAGUGGUGUUAGAGUGCCUGUAUAUAAAAGCAAACAAUUAUCAUCACCAAACCAGAACCAUUAUAAUGAAUGCCAUUCUUGCUGCCCCUUAAUCAUCAUCACCUGUCUCUUUAAUCCUUGCAUUACUUGCACUCCUCAUUAUUCAAUCACUUUCUCUCUUCAACUUCUUACAUUUACACCCCAGCAAUGAGGCAAAUUUAAUAAUUACCCUUUAAUCCCACUCCGUUAACGUUUCAUUCAGGACUUAAGGGAGUCUACUCUGUUUCUACUAAGAAAAUCUCUCCAUUUCUUUGAAUAGAUAUUCCUUUGUUUUUGUGGGUAGGGAGGUUACUAGUGGACUCUAUGGCCCUGAAGUGCUUCUGGGUCUGCUUGAUUUUGUUCUAUGGCUUUUGGGUAGCUGUUUUCUGUGAUCAAGACGGUAUGUCCAAUUUGCUUUUAUCCUUUUGGUUCUUCUGAAGUGUAUUGUCUGGAAGCUCUUUUUUUGCUUGUGUAAAGUUAAGGUGAAUUUGAUCCAAAAAAAAUUUUUUUGGUUGCUUGGAAUAACAGAAUUUGAAAUUAUGGUUCUGUUUUAGGUAAAUGAUGAAAAAAGCAGUUCACAUUGCCCUGUUAGCUACAUUUGCCUUGGUUCUUACCACGAUGUGCGAAAUUUACAAUUCAAGUUCUUUUUUUGUUUUUAAAGCUCUGAUCUUCAAAUCACUAUGGAACAACCUGCUCUAACAAAAUCUCAAAAACAGAAUGUUGAGGCUUUGAACUUUGUCUUAAUUUGCAUUUGAAUUCUAUGGGAUAGGUUUCUUGAGCUUAUCUUGUGGUGGAGCUAGGAGUUUUGUUGAUUCAUCAAAGAUAACAUGGGUCUCGGAUGAUACAUUCAUUAGCACAGGCAACACAACCACCGUUGAGUAUGUUGAGGGUAGCUCCUCAUCCAGUGUUCCACUUCGAUUUUUCCCAGAAUCUCAAGGCCGCAAUUGUUAUAAGUUACCAGUAGAGAAUAUAUCAUCCAUAAUUCUUGUGAGAGCCCAAUUUGUGUAUAAGAACUAUGACAGACUUUGGAAACCUCCAGCUUUCUCUGUUUCUCUAGGGACAGCUAUCACUAGUACUGUGAACCUAACCAACAAAGAUCCAUGGACUGAAGAGUUCAUAUGGCCAGUGAGUAAGGAAACAGUCUCAUUUUGCUUGCUUGCUAUUCCGGACUGCGGAUCUCCCGUUAUUUCUUCACUUGAAGUACGGCCACUUCCUCAAGGCGCUUACCAAAGUGGCAUGGAAGAUUUCCCAAAUACGUCACUUCGUAAGUGUUAUCGAAUUAAUAGUGGUUACUCCAAUGGAUCGCUGAGGUAAGAAUAUUUAACAACCCUUCCCUGUAAAUGGCUUCUGCCCUCUGUCAGGACGUUUGUGAUUAACUUCAGUUAGAACAGGUAUCCUGUAGAUCCAUUUGACCGCAUUUGGGAUGCUGAUCGAAGUUACACACCCUUUCAUGUCUCACCUAGUUUCGACAUUCUUCUUAGCUUCAAUUUGUCGAGUCAAAGGGAGAGCCCUCCAUUGAAAGUGUUGCAGACUGCUAGAGUUCUGGUACGAGGGGACGUCUUACAUUACUACUUACCUCUUGAUACAUUAGGGGACUACUACAUUGUUCUCUAUUUUGCGGGCAUUCUUCCUGUGUCUGCUUCUUUUGAUAUACUAAUUAAUGGGGAUGUUCAGCAAUCAGAAUUUACUAUAAGAACCUCAGAAGCCAGUACUCUAUAUUUUAAGCAGAAGGGAAUGGCCAGUCUGGAUAUUGCACUUAGGAGCAUCAUAUUCUACCCUCAAAUCAGUGCAUUUGAGGUUUACGAAAUUGUCGAUAUUCCACCAGAGGCUUCCUCAACUACAGGUGGAAUUUUCUUGUGUAAAUCUAUGAGUUUUUCCUGCUGACUAAUGCUGACUCCAUUCUGCAUGACUUGCAGUUUCAGCACUUCAAGUUAUUGAGCAAUCUACUGGUUUUGAUCUUGGGUGGCAAGAUGAUCCAUGCUUCCCAACUCCAUGGGAUCAUAUUGAAUGUGAAGGAAGUAUAGUGACAUCAUUGUAUGUGCAUAUUUCAACUGUAGCUUUGGACUUUUCUGUCUUACCUUUGAGAACUACUCAUAUGGGCUUAUAAUUUUCUCUUAGGGACCUUUCGGACAUCAACUUGAGGUCAAUUAGUCCAACGUUUGGUGACUUGCUGGAUCUUAAAAUCCUGUAAAUGUCUUUGGCUGAAAAACUAGUUUCUUUUUACUCUUUAACAUUAUGGCAUCCUCAAAAUAGGUACUUCCUUGUGCUAAUAUCGGUGAUUCUAUCUUUCAGGAAUUUGCAUAACACAUCACUUUCAGGAGCAAUACAAAAUCUGGGCAGCCUGCAGCAGCUUGAGAAAUUGUAAUGUCUUUCAAAGUGUUCACCCUUUAUUAGUAUCUUCAGAUAGCAGGACUAAUAAUAUAUCUUGACUAAAUUUCUCAGGAAUCUGAGUUUCAAUCAGUUAACAUCCUUUGGUUCUGAUUUAGACAGCUUGGUUAACCUUCAAGUUCUGUAAGUUGUAGUCAAAUAUUGUUUUCUUAGGUUGUCAUACAAUAAUUUCUUUAUUGAUUUCAGAGUUUGAAGUUUUUCCACUAUAUUUCAUGAAAGGAAUAUGAUAAACGACGGUUGUACUAAUACUGCAUUAUUCUUAUUUUUCUACAUGGAGGGACUUGCAUAAUAACAGUUUACAGGGGAUAGUUCCAGACAGCUUGGGAGAGUUAAAGAAUCUACAUCUACUGUAAGUGACUUCAAUAAAUAUUGUAUCAAUUGGUGAAGAACCAAAUAUGCAGUUUCUUUGUGAUGGCCCUCUGUGUUUCACUUGAUGUAAAUCUGCGUUCUGCAUUCUUCAGGAAUCUGGAGAACAAUAAAUUGCAAGGUACCCUCCCCCUAUCUUUGAACAGAGAAAGUUUGGAAGUUAGGUAUGGCACUGAUAUUCUAGUUUUUUGUCAACCUAUUUAUUCACAUGUCCUGAUGGAUCAAUUUUUGUGCAGAACAUCAGGAAAUUUGUGCCUUUCCUUCUCGACAAUGGCAUGCAAUGAUGUCUCAUCAAACACUUCAAUUGAGACACCACAAGUUACUAUUUUUACCAAUAGGAAGCACACUCAACACACGCAUUUAGCAAUUGUACUUGGUUCAGCUGGGGGAGCCUUAUUUGCUCUACUCCUCAUUUCUCUUUUAGUAUUAUUGUACGCAAAGAAAAGGAAAACUGAAGCCACAUAUGCUACAAGUACGUAAUAGUUAUUCACAUCAUUGUUAUCUUGAAAAUUGACAACUUGAUUCUUAUGUGCACAAUAUUCUCAUAUUCAGGGGCAGCAAUUGAUAUGAGAAACUGGAAUGCAGCAAAAAUUUUUUCCUACAAAGAAAUAAAACAAGCUACAAACAACUUUAAGGAAGUCAUAGGUCGGGGUAGCUUUGGAUCUGUUUACCUUGGAAAGCUAUCAGAUGGCAAACUGGUAGCUGUAAAAGUACGGUUUGAUAGAACUCAAUUGGGUGCAGAUUCUUUUGUUAAUGAGGUUUAUCAUCUAAACUUCUCUGCAAUUUUUGUGUCUCACCUUAAUGCAAUGUAAGCUUAGUAAUUUUCUCAGUAUUCUAUUGAUGAACAUAACUGAAGACUUUAUACAGUCAUCUCUAGAUCAUUGAUUAUCUUUAAGUGUAUAUCAAUUAGACUCAUUUUUUCUUGAUCUAGAAAGAGCUGUCAGUCUGCGCUGUUAUGCAUGUACAUCUGUAGAUUAAAUCUAAAGUAAAAAAUUUAAUUCUCUAGUUUAUGUAUGAUGUUUUGCUUCAUUUUAGAUCUAAUCCUCUCAUUGGUCCUGUAAAGUUGCCUCAUCGUCCAUAAGGAUUGGCUGCAGGUUCAUCUCUUGUCACAAAUUCGUCAUCAAAAUCUUGUGUGCUUGGAAGGAUUUUGUCAUGAAUCAAAGCAUCAGAUACUAGUCUAUGAAUAUCUACCUGGUGGAUCACUGGCUGAUCACCUGUAUGGUAUGUUUUUCUUGAAUACAAGAUUUACCAUUUUCAUUUUGCAAUUUUUGUUACAUAUCCUUUAUAUCUGUUCUUCUCAUCUCCCAAAAUGCCCUGCCCUGGUUCGUUCUUAAUGUUUGUUACAGGUCCAAACAGUCAAAAAGUUUCUUUAAGCUGGGUUCGGAGACUGAAAAUAGCUGUUGAUGCUGCAAAAGGUAUGUCUAGUAUUCCGUUUCUAGCCUUCAUGUAAAGUUACUUAGGAGAGACAAGAGCUGUGCAGAUGAAAGGUUCAUGAUGUCCCAGGCACUUUAGCAAUGGAAAAGGUUUAUUUCUAUGGUUUGAAGUUUUCAUACCAGAUGAAUUAGGCUAGAUAUCAUAGCUUAUUCUUUUUCAGAAGUAAAGAUCCUUCGAUACAAUGAUGAGAUUCUGGAAUUCUAGAUAAAAGAUUUAGCCAAAUACUCUUCAUAAGAUUAUAAUAUUCCAAUACAGAAGCAGUCCUUUCAGGGAACGUGUGAGUUUCUUUAGAUAUUGAUGCCAUAUUUUUGGCAUAAUCUUCUUGUUUGCCACAAUGGUAUAGUUCAACAUCUAUUAGUGGAACUGUGGAAACACCAGGAGGUCCAAAAUUUUGGAAUAAUUACUGCUAUUAUUUUUUCUUGCCCACCAUCAUUAGCCUUUUCUUUGAAGGGCUGGACUAUUUGCAUAAUGGGAGCGAUCCAAGAAUCAUACACCGUGAUGUCAAGUGCAGUAACAUCCUUUUGGACAGUCAGAUGAAUGCCAAGGUCUGUGAUUUUGGCCUCUCUAAGCAAGUAACUCAGGCAGAUGCAACUCAUGUGACCACUGUUGUCAAGGGCACUGCUGGCUAUCUAGAUCCUGAGUAAGUCUUAGUUAAGUUUAUUUAAUUGAUGCCUUUACUGCAACGACUCAUGAUCUCUCAUGUCUUUAUCAUUGAGUGAUUUUCUCUACAGGUAUUAUUCCACCCUACAGCUGACUGAGAAAAGUGAUGUCUACAGUUUUGGGGUUGUUCUUUUAGAGCUCAUAUGUGGAAGAGAACCACUGACUCACUCCGGAACUCCAGAUUCCUUCAAUUUAGUGCUAUGGGUAACCAAAAUUUUCUUUGUCUUUUAUCUUUUUCCCGUUUCUUCUGUAUCUUAGCUAUAAAACGGUGCAUGAAGGUUUGAUCUUGUUACAUCACAUAUAUGUUUUUUAUUCUUUUAUAAAAAAUAAAAGAAAUAGAGAAGGAAUUUAAAACUGUGAAUAGUUUCACAAUUGCUUUUUCUUCACAGGAAUUUAUACAUUUCAUUGUCACUCAGGUGUUCACAAGGUCAAAUUGUUUGCUUCUAAUGAAGCAUACAAUUCACCGGGGGACAUACUUGUCUCAGCAUUUGUCAACCAGUAGUUUACAUUUUGUAAAAGUACUUGCUUCUUAAUUGUUCAUUAUAAUUCAAAUCCUGCACAUUUUCAGCAUGAUUGCUGAGGCAUCAAGGAUUUAAGAUGACAAAUUAGUU